GAGUCAGGUUCUUGAAGAACCUGAUCGGUACAGGGCUAGUCGAGUUUUAGGGACUAGAACUCUUGAAACAAGGAGAAAAAGGAGCGCUGUCUUUGGUUCAAUUUUCAUGUGGAUCACCAUUGGAGGGUGGACACUCAGAUACCUUAUAGAAAUUAAGAUUUGCACUACAGAUAUGCUUCUUAUCCAAGUUUAAUUUAUUGUACUUUGAUUAUUAUAGUCAAAGAUUUUUGGGCAUUAGGGUUUCCGGUGCAUCGGAUGUUUCGAAUGAAAAAAUUUAAAUACCUAAUUCUUCUGCUGUGCCAUCAGAACCCAAC
RNAcentral lists this long non-coding RNA (314 nucleotides) under Elaeis guineensis (African oil palm). RNAcentral describes it as "long non-coding RNA (EGUI_LNC056977)". The record is from RNAcentral. Lineage: Eukaryota; Viridiplantae; Streptophyta; Magnoliopsida; Arecales; Arecaceae.